CCAUUAAGAGAUGAGGAAAUAGUGUCAUACAUGCUCGGCGGCCUUAGUGAGGAUUAUGACCCUCUAGUGACAUCCAUCACUACAAGAACAAAGCCGAUCUCACUCACCGAUUUGUAUGUACAUAUGCUGAGUUAUGAAA
This is a small nucleolar RNA of Dioscorea cayenensis subsp. rotundata (Guinea yam), 139 nucleotides long. RefSeq annotates it as small nucleolar RNA Z247. The record is from RefSeq and is a predicted model, not a curated record. NCBI's taxonomy places the organism in Eukaryota, Viridiplantae, Streptophyta, Magnoliopsida, Dioscoreales, Dioscoreaceae. The transcript has a single exon.